UACGUAGGCAGCGAGCGUUGUUCGGAGUUACUGGGCGUAAAGCGUGCGUAGGCGGUGUCUUAAGUUUGUUGUGAAAUCUCCCGGCUCAACUGGGAGGGUGCGGCGAAUACUGAGAUGCUGGAGUGCGGGAGAGGUAAGCGGAAUUCCUGGUGUAGCGGUGAAAUGCGUAGAUAUCAGGAGGAACACCUGCGGUGUAGACGGCUUACUGGACCGUAACUGACGCUGAGGCACGAAAGCGUGGGGAGCAAACAGG
RNAcentral lists this ribosomal RNA (253 nucleotides) under uncultured bacterium. Its description in RNAcentral is "partial 16S ribosomal RNA". It matches the Rfam family "Bacterial small subunit ribosomal RNA", at positions 524 to 776 of the family's 1533-position model. The record is from RNAcentral.